RNAcentral lists this ribosomal RNA (495 nucleotides) under uncultured bacterium. RNAcentral describes it as "partial 16S ribosomal RNA". It matches the Rfam family "Bacterial small subunit ribosomal RNA", at positions 28 to 507 of the family's 1533-position model. The record is from RNAcentral.
GACGAACGCUGGCGGCGUGCCUAGUACAUGCAAGUAGAACGCUGAAGGAGGAGCUUGCUUCUCUGGAUGAGUUGCGAACGGGUGAGUAACGCGUAGGUAACCUGCCUGGUAGCGGGGGAUAACUAUUGGAAACGAUAGCUAAUACCGCAUAAGAGUAGAUGUUGCAUGACAUUUACUUAAAAGGUGCAAUUGCAUCACUACCAGAUGGACCUGCGUUGUAUUAGCUAGUUGGUGAGGUAACGGCUCACCAAGGCAACGAUACAUAGCCGACCUGAGAGGGUGAUCGGCCACACUGGGACUGAGACACGGCCCAGACUCCUACGGGAGGCAGCAGUAGGGAAUCUUCGGCAAUGGACGGAAGUCUGACCGAGCAACGCCGCGUGAGUGAAGAAGGUUUUCGGAUCGUAAAGCUCUGUUGUAAGAGAAGAACGAGUGUGAGAGUGGAAAGUUCACACUGUGACGGUAUCUUACCAGAAAGGGACGGCUAACUACGUG